RNAcentral lists this ribosomal RNA (460 nucleotides) under uncultured bacterium. Its description in RNAcentral is "partial 16S ribosomal RNA". It matches the Rfam family "Bacterial small subunit ribosomal RNA", at positions 338 to 795 of the family's 1533-position model. The record is from RNAcentral.
CCUACGGGAGGCAGCAGUGAGGAAUAUUGGUCAAUGGGCGCAAGCCUGACCCAGCCAAGUAGCGUGCAGGAUGACGGCCCUACGGGUUGUAAACUGCUUUUAUGCGGGAAUAAAAUGCCUCACGUGUGUUGCUUUGUAGGUGCCGCAUUAAUAAGGACCGGCUAAUUCCGUGCCAGCAGCCGCGGUAAUACGGAGGGUCCGGGCGUUAUCCGGAUUUAUUGGGUGUAAAGGGAGCGUAGGCCGCAUGUCAAGCGUGCCGUGAAAUCCCGUGGCUCAACCAUGGCACUGCAGCGCGAACUGGCGUGCUUGAGUGCGCGGAACGCAGGCGGAAUUCGUGGUGUAGCGGUGAAAUGCGUAGAUAUGACGAGGAACUCCGAUUGCGAAGGCAGCAUGCUGCAGCGCAACUGACGGUGAGGCUCGAAGGCGCGGGUAUCGAACAGGAUUAGAUACCCGUGUAGUC